AAAUACGAUAAAAAAAUAGGUGCUGAAGUCUUUUAAAAAGACUUCCAGCUUAAUAGGGAAGUUGGUAGAAGCCAACGCGGUCCCGCCACUGUAAAUGAGAGCAGCCUAUAACAUGUCACUGUCGAUAAGAUGGGAAGACAUAGACUGCGAUGAUCAUGAGCCAGGAAACCUGCCUGUUUUUGACACCAACA
RNAcentral lists this non-coding RNA (191 nucleotides) under Neobacillus vireti. The record is from RNAcentral. Lineage: Bacteria; Bacillati; Bacillota; Bacilli; Caryophanales; Bacillaceae. RNAcentral also lists the same sequence under 1 other name.